This is a long non-coding RNA of Symphalangus syndactylus (siamang), 5103 nucleotides long. RefSeq lists it as uncharacterized. The record is from RefSeq and is a predicted model, not a curated record. Lineage: Eukaryota; Metazoa; Chordata; Mammalia; Primates; Hylobatidae.
UAUUUUGUGAGAUUUCUCCAUUACUUUAUUUUCUAAGGGAAAAAGUCCCCUGGCUAAUGAACAGAUGUUCCCUAUGCAUUUAAAACUCAUGCCCAAUCCACACUUAUUAUUCUCAGGAGGGCCCUGGGAGGUAGGCAGCAGGCAGGCUCUGGACUGACUUCCUUUUUUAUAGGGGCCAGAGGUGGGUGGGGGUUAGCAAUCAUUUUUAAAGUCAGAUGCAAUUAGAAUACAAUGAUAUUAGAAUCACUAUUUAAAGUCCCUUAAGUGUCAUCUUGACGACAGACAAACAUAUCUCUGUACAGGUCAGCUCACCCAGACAGCUUCCUCCAGCUCUGAAACAGAUCGAUUGAGCACCAGAUGAAGUUGUCAUGGAUGGGAGAUGUGAUGUACAAGAGGCUCAUCUCUGAAUUAAGAGAAGCAUGCACAUAUGAAGCACUGCCCCUGAAUAGUUCCCAUUAAAAGCAAAACUUACUUGAGUUCUCUCCCCAAAGUCAAAUGUAAUCGGACAGGCAGACCCUCCUGAAAUUCUGAGCAGAAAUUGCUGCUACAUUUGAAUCAGAUUCUAAGAGGUGAGAAAUGCUUCUUUUUUUUCCCAACUUAUAUUUUAAGUUCAGGGGUACGUGCACAGGGUGUGGAGGUUUGUUACAUAGGUAAACGUGUGCCAUGGUGGUUUGCUGCACAGAUCAUCCCAUCAUCUAGGUAUUAAGCCUGGCAUCCGUUAGCUACUCUUCCUGAUGCUCUUCCUCCUCCCACCCCCAGUGUGUGUUGUUCCCCCCAUGUGUCCACGUGUUCUCAUCAUUCAGCUCCCACUUGUAAGUUAAAACAUGCAAUAUUUGGUUUUCUGUCUCUGCGUUAAGUUUGCCGAGGAUAAUCGCUUCCAGCUCCAUCCAUAUCCCUGCAAAGGACAUGAUCUCAUUCCUUUUUAUGGCUGCAUAGUAUUCCAUGGUGUAUAUGUACCAAAUUUUCUUUAUCCAGUCUAUCAGUGAUGGGCAUUUGGGUUGAUUCCAUGUCUUUGCUACUGUGAAUAGUGCUGUAAUGAACAUAUGUGUGCAUGUAUCUUUAUAAUAGAAUGACUUCUGUUUCUUUGGGUAUAUACUUAGCAAUGGGAUUGCUGGGUCAAAUGGCAUUUCUGCCUCUAGGUCUCUGAGGAAUCACCACACCGUCUUCCACAAUGGUUGAACUAAUUUGCACUCCCACCAAUGGCAUAAAAGCAUUCCUUUUUCUCUACAAUCUCACCAGCAUCUGUUGUUUCUUGACUUUUUAGUAAUAGCCAUUCUGACUGGUGUGAGAUGGUAUCUCAUUGUGGUUUUGAUUUGCAUUUCUCUAAUGAUCAGUGAUGUUGAGCUUUUUUUCAUGUUUGUUGGCCACAUAUAUGUCUUCUUUUGAGACGUGUGUGUUCACAUCCUUUGCCCACUUUUUAAUGGGAUUGUUUGUUUAUUUCUUGUAAAUUUGUUUAAGUGCCUUAUAGACACUGGAUGUUAGACCUUUGUCAGAUGGAUAGGUUGCAAAAAUGAGAAACGUUUCUUAUAUACACCUGUGGAUCAGUGCCGGUCACAUGCCCCAGGCCGUGAUUCUUCAUCAGUGCUAAUGCGUUCUUCUAGUGGACAUCUCAGUGUUGACGUGUUCAGAGUUGUGAGGGACUUGAGUGGUGAUUAAGCAAAGGAGGAGGUCCUGGCAGCAACAAUCUGGGCCAGAAAGUGGAAACAGCCUCGUGAAUUCUGAACUUUUCAGGUUAUAUCAAUGGAGGUGCUUUACUCUUGACACACACACACACACACACACACACACACAACUGUACCAGGCAAGGUUUUGGCAAAUAUAUGUCACAAUUGCACUGUGAUACAAAGAAGCAAAAUUCCAAGUUUAUAACUUUCUCAUCCUUCUAUAGAAUACAUGCAUUUCCCUAAACACAUAUAUUAUUAAUAUCCCAUAAAAUAUUAACUCCAUCUAAAAAUGCCUUAUUAACAACAUAAUGAGUGCAAUACACACAUCGGUUUUCUCUAGACACUUUAUUUAGAAACCCCGAGCUCUUUUGUUUUUGAUAUCAGUGAAAAGAGAUAAUAUAGAAAUGUUUAUUUGUAAUGAUCAAGAAAGUUCAUGAUCUUGUAGUCAAGGAGUCAACACAGAAUCAACAGUUUGGUCCAAAAAGUAAGAUUUCAAAGCAAAGAUUUUUCCCCAAAGUUGAGAAAACACAGAGGUACUGUGAAGCAGCACAUCUUUAGAGAUGCACUAUGUGUUGUUUUGUUUGGUUUUGUUUGUGGGCACUUUCUAAAAUGGGAUUUAAAGUCCAGGGACCAUAAUUAGGCCUACCACAAAUGAUGUUAUUGUUGUCUUUAAUGUAUGGCCUUAAAUACAUCAUAAGAAGGUUCACAGUGACAGUUUACUCAUUGCUGUGAGCUUGUGGACACCAUUGUCUGCUUUAAAACAAUGCUCUGGCUUUGCUCUUUGAAGACAAGACCUGAAAAGUCAGCUGUGUGUAUUUUCGUAGAUCAUCAAUAUUAGAAGGUGCACAUCGUAAUUCAAAUCUCUGAAGAGGAAGAAGGAAGACAUUGACUUCAGUCUUCAUUUGGUCCUGUUAUGGGACUUCCAGACACUGAAAAACUCAUCCCUACAGCCGGCUGGAGGAUAUUGUCCUGGAAGGGACAGCUUUCACAUAUGGUUUGGAUUCAAUUAGCCAGCUCCUCUGAGAGCCACUAGAGUACCAUUUAGGACAUUGCUUCUUGAAUUCUCAUUUGCAGCCUUGCAAAUAAUUUUCAAAGGUCAUUAGACCAUAAGGAGUUUUCAUUACCCUUCAUUCAUGUCAACAGCAAACACUUACUGACUGAGCGUCCACUUGGUGCCCUCUGCUAGGUGCUUCCAGGUGCAUCCAAAAAGGGAUGCAGUAUAAAAAAUUAAAAUGACUAGAAACAGCAACACAUGGAAGGUAAAAAUCUUUCUAAUAAGAGCAAUGGAAGAAACAUUUCUACAAAUGUUAAGCUGUAAGUCAAAUGUUUUUAAAAAGAAAGAAAAGACAAAUUUGAUUAGACAAAAAUGAGAAACUGCUUGCUGUGGUCUGAAUGUGUCCCCCCAAAUUCAUAUGUUGAACCUUAAUUGCCAAUGUGAGAGUAUUAGGAGGUAGGGCCUUUAGGAGGUGAUUAAGUCUCUGCCUUCACAAAUGGGAUUAGUGCCCUUAUAAAAGAGGUGCAAGGAAGCUGCUCAUCCAUUCCACCACAUGAGGAUGCAUCCAAAUGUGCCAUCUGUGAAGCAGAGAAUGCCCUCACUAGACAUCAAACUAGACAUCAAACCUAAAUUGGCCUUGAUCCUGGGCUUCCCGCCCUCCAGAACUGUGAGCAAUAAAUUUUUAUUUUUUAUAAAUUAUCCAGUCUAAGGUAUCUUGUUAUAGCAGCCCAAACAUACUGAGGCACUCUUGAAUGUCAAAAGACACUGUAAACAAAAUUUAAAAGGCAAAUGGAAAAAUGGGGCAAAUAUUUAAAACCAUAAAGGGCAAGAUGCUUUAUGAAAGUGUCAUAUAGCUCAAUAAAGGAAAAACAGUCCAACAGAAACAUGGUUCUGGAACAUAAGCCCUUCACAGAAGAAAUACAAAUCACUGACAAACAUACAAAAUGCCAAGAAUAGCUAGUAUUUAAAGAAAUACAAUAAAAAUAAUGAAACAUUUAAGCCUGUCAGAUUUUCCUCUUCUUUUUCAUUCUUUUUUCUUUUUUUUAAGAUUCAAAGCCAUUAGUGAAAGCACAUGAGACACUGUGGAGUUGGAGGUGUGGGUCAUCGCCUGCCUGUUCAUGCCCUGUUCUAGGUAAUCUGUCCUCUUCCCAGCCUACCCUACCCACCCAUUACUUCUCUGACCUACACUCACCAUGGAGAGCUGCUCAUCAGCAAGGGCCUGGAGUGUGGGGCCAUACACUCUAGCAAAGCAAAGGCUCCCCGGGAGCUGAGCGAAAGAACUCAGAGCCUUGCUAAGAAGCUACUCGCCCGCUAACUGGAGACUGGAGCAGAGGAGAUGGCUGCAGAGACAACACACACAGACAUAGCGCCUGGGCUCUGUAGGUGGGCAAGGCCAGGCUGUGCUUCCUCCAACUGGAGGCACUGAGCUCCCCCAACAAGCCUACAAUGGACCCUGCAUCUCACCUGAGCUGCUUGGAGCUGGGCUCUGUUUUAGCCACUGACAGAUCCGUGCUCUUGGAUUGCUAGGGGUACAGCGCAUUGGUGGAACGGAACUUUUCCAGGGCACGUGGCAAUUUGUAUUAGCAGCUUUCAGUUGGGAGUUGUUUUUCAACCCAGCAAUUCCCAGUAAGGGAAUUUAUCAAAGAUAUGACUAAAGAUUUGUGUCCAGGGACACUUACUGAAAUGUUAUUUUUUAUUAGUGAAAAAUUGGAAACAAUUUAAAAUCCCCACAGGAAGGAAAUUGUUUCUCUCCAUAAGAUGGUAUACAAAGGUCAUGGUAAGAUAUCCAUGGUGUGGCCUUGCAAAGCCUGUUGCUGAAAAAGCGAAAUAAUAUGAACCCUAAAUUGGCAGAAGAUGAUGCUUUUAUGCAUAAAAAACACUGAAAGUGUAUCAUCUAAAAUCUAUUAAUCUUUUAUUUUGAAAUAAUAUCACUUGUAUAGGUAAGUUGCAAAAACAGUACAAGCAGUGCUCAUGGGUCUUCACCUCAGCUCAACAAUUGUUGACACCUCGCAACGUUUGAUUUAUUGUUCUCUCUCUAUACAUACACAUUCACUCACAUAUAAUUCUUACAACAUGACUAUAACAAUUUUACACAACAUAUACAUAUAUAAUAUGUAUGUAUAUGAAUUAUAUACCUUAUAUAGUUUUAUAUAAUAUUGUAUAUUAUAUAUAUUUUAUAUAUGUGUGAACAUGUAUGUUAUUCAAAAUCUAACUAUGCAUGUUAUUUAAAAUCACAUGCAUUAUUUUUCUGAACCAUUUGAUGGUAAGUUGCCGAAAUCAUAUGCUUUUACCCCUCAAUAGUGACCUUCAAAUGUUAUUUAUAUUUUUUGCCUCUUUCGUUAUUCUGUAUUUCCCAUUUUCUGUCUUUGUAAUUAGAUAAAAAUAAUAACAUACGUUAUCUCAAGAAGUAAAUCACAACUAUUUACUUCUGAAAUUCUUUAAGUA